Molecule: ribosomal RNA, 603 nt
Filed under: Triticum aestivum (bread wheat)
Lineage: Eukaryota; Viridiplantae; Streptophyta; Magnoliopsida; Poales; Poaceae
Description: partial small subunit ribosomal RNA
Source: RNAcentral
AUGCCCCCUUGGGAGCGCUUCCGCGAGCUCUGCCUCCUUCGUUUUGGGCCCCCGAUCCGUGGGAGCCGCCUGAAGGAGCUAGGCUGCCUUCCCUUCACCUCCAUGGUUCAGGACUUCGCCGACCGUUUCCAGGCCCUGGCAUGCCACACGUCGGGUGUGACGGCGCAGCAGCGGGCCGACCUCUUUGUCGGUGGACUUCCGGAUCACAUCCGCGUGGACGUGGAGCUUCGGGGACCCCAGGAUCUCCAGACGGCCAUGUACUACGCCCGCGCGUUCGAGCGCUGCGCGGUGGCCGUCCAGCAGGAGUCACCGUCCCGGGCCACUGGGUCGCUACCCUGGCCAGAUCCCGCUCAAGGUCGGCCUGCUCAGUCUUCCGCGGCACCCCUCUCCGCGACCGCGGCGCGCCCGUUCCGCCGGCUCACCUCGGUCGAGCUACUCGAGCGUCGCCGCCAAGGGUUGUGCUUCAACUGCGACGAGCCCUAUACGCCCGGCCACGCCCGCCCGCGACUCUUCUACCUGGAGGUUGCAGACUACAUUCCGGAGGACGCCGUCGCCGCCGACCUUGCCGCCCCAGCUGUCGCGAAGGUGUUUGACGCUGGUUGA